RNAcentral lists this non-coding RNA (176 nucleotides) under bacterium. Its description in RNAcentral is "6S RNA". It matches the Rfam family "6S / SsrS RNA". Rfam says of the family: E. coli 6S RNA was the first non coding RNA to be sequenced, but its function was unknown until recently. It consists of 184 nucleotides that fold into an extended hairpin structure with a large single-stranded internal bulge. The record is from RNAcentral.
UUGUCCCUGUGGGGCUGGCAGCUUACUCUAUAAAGAGCCAUCAAUAAAUAAAACAGGGAGCCCGUCUCUGAACGCGUAUUACAGGCCACCUCGAUGUGGAAGUAAAAAGCGCUUAGGAGGGCACCCACCGUGUGUAAACACGGUUCUUUAUAGCUUUGCUGGCCUACAGGGAUUUU